Long non-coding RNA from Eptesicus fuscus (big brown bat), 1276 nucleotides. RefSeq lists it as uncharacterized. The record is from RefSeq and is a predicted model, not a curated record. The transcript is spliced from 4 exons. NCBI's taxonomy places the organism in Eukaryota, Metazoa, Chordata, Mammalia, Chiroptera, Vespertilionidae.
UCUAAGCAGGAGAGAGACAGGCCUGUUCUCAGGGCGGUGCAAUCUGGAAGGAGAAGCUGACAAUCGAGCUCACAGAACAAAUUACCACUUAAGAGUAACAGUGAGACCGAAGUGGGGACAGCGCAGCGUGCUCGGACUGGUUAGCGCAGCAGCUUAACCCUGUCAGGGGGUCAGGGAAUGAAGGUCCUCUACUUGUUUGUUUAACAAAUUAUUUAUUGAGGGAGCCCUUCAAUGAGGGGUUCUCUGUUCGGCCCUGGGAUACAACGAUGAAUACAACACAGGCCUCAGGAAGCUUACAUUCCAGUGAGUAAGGCGGCGAUGAAACAAGUAGACAGAACUUCGGAACCUCAGGUUCUUGUGACACGAACAAGGAAAUGAUACAGAGAACACGGCAGAGCUGUUUAGACAGAGCGCUAAGGAAAGGAGCUCAGAGCUCACCUCCCCCAGCUGCUGCUAUCUCCAGGGAAAUAAAACCUGAAAGCUCCCAGGGGGCACCGUGAAAGGGCAGAGACCAGGCAGGAUAAGCUGAUGUCUCGUGUGACAACGGAAAGCGCUCAGGCUGGGAAAUCAGAGACCUGCACCUUCUCGUCCCGGUUCUGCCUCUGAUGCCCGAGGCCUUGGGCAAGGUCUUGGCCUCUGAGAAAGAAGCACAUCUGUGAAAUGGGCCAGAUGCUUUCUGCAGGCCCUGGGACGUGAGGGCGCUUCCCCAAGCAGGACGCAGUGCACAUUCGCUGUGACCAAGAGCCAUCCUAACCAGCCGCCUUUCCGAGAACUGCCUGACCUGCUUCUCCAACAGGGGUGGCUGCCAUGACCUAUUGACCAUGAAAGGCCGGGGCUGGCUGCACGCCCCCACUGCACCCCAUCAGAAGCUCUCCAGGUGAGGGUCAGAGGGCAGAGCCCCACCUCCAAGCCGGAACAGGAAAGAGCUCCUGAGCAGGAAGCUUCUAAACACAUUCUUGGGAUUACUCGUUAUUUUAAGUCUGUGGCUGAAGGCAGAGAGGCCUCCUAAUCCCUCGGCCGGCUGCAGGCCAUGUGAAUCCUGAUUUGUCUGACCGGGCGGCGUGCCCAGGAGCUGCCAACCCACCGGCCUGUGACGUCCGGCUGACUGAGCUGACCUCCCUGCCAGGAAGGGCCCCAGCACAAAGGUCAGCACCACAGGCCGGACCCCAGAGGAGGGACAGUGCCCUUCAGCUCGCCUUGAAGGUAUUCCAAGGAUCACAGACGUGCCACACGUGCAGCCUCCACAGAGGGUGGGCGACGGGCCUGCGUGAGCGGG